UACGUAGGGGGCAAGCGUUGUCCGGAAUCAUUGGGCGUAAAGCGCGUGUAGGCGGUUCGGUAAGUCUGCUGUGAAAGUCCAGGGCUCAACCCUGGGAUGCCGGUGGAUACUGUCGGACUAGAGUACGGAAGAGGCGAGUGGAAUUCCCGGUGUAGCGGUGAAAUGCGCAGAUAUCGGGAGGAACACCAAUUCGAAGGCAGCUCGCUGGGACGUUACUGACGCUGAGACGCGAAAGCGUGGGGGAGCAAACAGG
This 253-nucleotide ribosomal RNA is filed under the name uncultured bacterium. RNAcentral's name for it is "partial 16S ribosomal RNA". It matches the Rfam family "Bacterial small subunit ribosomal RNA", at positions 524 to 776 of the family's 1533-position model. The record is from RNAcentral.